This 79-nucleotide small RNA is filed under the name Flavobacterium swingsii. RNAcentral describes it as "Flavo-1 RNA". It matches the Rfam family "Flavo-1 RNA". The record is from RNAcentral. Lineage: Bacteria; Pseudomonadati; Bacteroidota; Flavobacteriia; Flavobacteriales; Flavobacteriaceae.
AAAUAGCCCCGAUAGAGCCGAUAUCCUCUUCUCUCAUUUUUUUUCGAGAGGAGAGAUAAAGGCGAAAGCGGGAAUGUAU